AAUGGGGGCUGGAGGGGAGCGCGGAUGCGGCUCCCGGGGUUUUUUUUUUUUUUUUUAUGAAUGAAGGGCAGCGGCAGCUGCGCAUGCACCGCGCCCCCCGCCCGGGGCUGGAGGCACUCAUCCGCUUCCAGCCGUUCUGCUCGCGGGAAGAUAAAUGGAGGGGAGGAAUCCUGGGCAUGGCUGCACGGGAGCGGGCUCACAACGCACUGGGUGAUGCACAACAGCUUUUCCAGGCACGUUUCUCCCCCUCCCUCCACGAAUUUUAUUUCUGUAUGAAGUCUCCUCUGAUAAAUAUCCCCAACAGUGAUUUCAGACAAACACCCUAA
This 326-nucleotide long non-coding RNA is filed under the name Camarhynchus parvulus. RNAcentral describes it as "lncRNA (ENSCPVG00000007214.2)". The record is from RNAcentral. Lineage: Eukaryota; Metazoa; Chordata; Aves; Passeriformes; Thraupidae.